RNAcentral lists this transfer RNA (84 nucleotides) under Paenibacillus sp. CF095. RNAcentral's name for it is "tRNA_Ser_TGA". It matches the Rfam family "tRNA". Rfam says of the family: Transfer RNA (tRNA) molecules are approximately 80 nucleotides in length. Their secondary structure includes four short double-helical elements and three loops (D, anti-codon, and T loops). Further hydrogen bonds mediate the characteristic L-shaped molecular structure. tRNAs have two regions of fundamental functional importance: the anti-codon, which is responsible for specific mRNA codon recognition, and the 3' end, to which the tRNAs corresponding amino acid is attached (by aminoacyl-tRNA synthetases). tRNAs cope with the degeneracy of the genetic code in two manners: having more than one tRNA (with a specific anti-codon) for a particular amino acid; and 'wobble' base-pairing, i.e. permitting non-standard base-pairing at the 3rd anti-codon position. The record is from RNAcentral. Lineage: Bacteria; Bacillati; Bacillota; Bacilli; Caryophanales; Paenibacillaceae.
GGCUUGGUGGCUUAUCACAACUAGGGGCGGUCUUGAAAACCGUUAGGGGGCAACUCCACGUGGGUUCGAAUCCCACCCUCUCCG